Centrocercus urophasianus (Greater sage-grouse) is the source of this 287-nucleotide long non-coding RNA. RefSeq lists it as uncharacterized. The record is from RefSeq and is a predicted model, not a curated record. The transcript has 3 exons. NCBI's taxonomy places the organism in Eukaryota, Metazoa, Chordata, Aves, Galliformes, Phasianidae.
UCUUCUUCCCGCAGACUGACGUUGACGGCAAAGCAGCUUUUCCCCGAGUCGCACGGAGGGCCGGCGCGGCUGCGGUAACCUCAUGGUUUUACCUGCUUGCCAGUGAAGUUCCAUUUGCAGUUUGCUUUGUCUGCUGUGCUUCACACAAGAUUUUCAUGGAUCUCAACAGUGCAAGCAGUGUUGUUUUGCAAGUCUUGACCCAAGCUACUAGUCAAGAUACUGCAGUGCUGAAGCCAGCUGAGGAACAACUGAAGCAGUGGGAGACACAGCCAGGCUUUUACUCUGUC